RNAcentral lists this small nuclear RNA (21 nucleotides) under Arabidopsis thaliana (thale cress). Its description in RNAcentral is "snRNA_14461". The record is from RNAcentral. Lineage: Eukaryota; Viridiplantae; Streptophyta; Magnoliopsida; Brassicales; Brassicaceae.
UCUGAGUUUAGUAAAUUUGAU